Molecule: ribosomal RNA, 407 nt
Filed under: uncultured bacterium
Lineage: Bacteria
Description: partial 16S ribosomal RNA
Rfam family: Bacterial small subunit ribosomal RNA
Source: RNAcentral
AUUGAACGCUAGCGGGAUGCCUUACACAUGCAAGUCGAACGGCGUGGCGAACGGGUGAGUAAUGUAUCGGAACGUGCCCAGUAGCGGGGGAUAACUACGCGAAAGCGUAGCUAAUACCGCAUCCUAUAGGAGCGGCCGAUUUCGGCUUAGAUAGUUGGUGCGGUAACGGCUUACCAAGGCGACGAUCCGUAGGUGGUUUGAGAGGACGACCAGCCACGCUGGAUCGGAGACACGGGCCAGACUCCUACGGGGGGCAGCAGUGGGGAAUGUUGGACAAUGGGUGAAACGCUGAUCCAGCAAUGCCGCGGGUGCGAUGAAGGUUUUCGGAUUGUAAAGCACAUUUGGCAGGGAAGCGGUACAUACAGAAGAAGCACCGGCUAACUACGUGCCAGCAGCCGCGGUAAUUC